AGCGGUGAAACGCGUAGAGAUCUGGAGGAAUACCGGUGGCGAAGGCGGCCCCCUGGACAAAGACUGACGCUCAGGUGCGAAAGCGUGGGGAGCUGAACGGGAUUAGAUACCCUGGUAGUCCACGCCGUAAGCGAUGUCGAUUUGGAGGUUGUGCCCUUGAGGCGUGGCUUCCGGAGCUAACGCGUUAAAUCGACCGGCUGGGGAGUACGGCCGCAAGGUUAAAACUCGAAUGAAUUGACGGGGGCCCGCACAAGCGGUGGAGCAUGUGGUUUAAUUCGAUGCAACGCGAAGAACCUUACCUGGUCUUGACAUCCACAGAACUUAGCAGAGAUGCUUUGGUGCCUUCGGGAACUGUGAGACAGGUGCUGCAUGGCUGUCGUCAGCUCGUGUUGUGAAAUGUUGGGUUAAGUCCCGCAACGAGCGCAACCCUUAUCCUUUGUUGCCAGCGGUCCGGCCGGGAACUCAAAGGAGACUGCCAGUGAUAAACUGGAGGAAGGUGGGGAUGACGUCAAGUCAUCAUGGCCCUUACGACCAGGGCUACACACGUGCUACAAUGGCAUAUACAAAGAGAAACGACCUCGCGAGAGCAAGCGGACCUCAUAAAGUAUGUCGUAGUCCGGAUUGGAGUCUGCAACUCGACUCCAUGAAGUCGGAAUCGCUAGUAAUCGUAGAUCAGAAUGCUACGGUGAAUACGUUCCCGGGCCUUGUACACACCGCCCGUCACACCAUGGGAGUGGGUUGCAAAAGAAGUAAGUAGCUUAACCUUCGGGAG
RNAcentral lists this ribosomal RNA (772 nucleotides) under uncultured Enterobacteriaceae bacterium. Its description in RNAcentral is "SSU rRNA". It matches the Rfam family "Bacterial small subunit ribosomal RNA", at positions 677 to 1448 of the family's 1533-position model. The record is from RNAcentral. Lineage: Bacteria; Pseudomonadati; Pseudomonadota; Gammaproteobacteria; Enterobacterales; Enterobacteriaceae.